GACCCUUUCUAAUCCUGAAGGUGCCGUAUCUGCAGUUGCUAGUGGUGCAGCCGGUUUUCAAAAAGGGAACUGAAGAAACAACAUUUACUCCCAUUAUUAUGUUGGAUAAGAAAAGGGCAUCGAAUGUGAAUUAGCCAAAGACCUGGGAGAAGAGGUACGUUUAUGCCUGGUGCCUAAAGGUGAACAAUGAAGGCGCCAGGUGGGCCUCCCUGGGGAGAGCAUUCCACAAAGGGGAGCCACUGCAGAAAAGGCCUGUUCUGUGUUGCCACCUUCUGGACCUCUCAUGGAGGAGUAGAAAAGCCUGUGAAUUCAAACUUCCCAGUUAUAUCCUUUCUAGUAAACCAUAUUUUUGAGACUACAGAAAAUCCUUGAACUGAUUGAACUUUAUAGCAGGCAUCAUAAAGGAAGUUUCCAUACCUUUGG
Molecule: long non-coding RNA, 423 nt
Organism: Podarcis raffonei (Aeolian wall lizard)
Lineage: Eukaryota; Metazoa; Chordata; Lepidosauria; Squamata; Lacertidae
Exons: 3
Source: RefSeq, a predicted model, not a curated record